UUGUUUUUUUUUUCUUAUAAUGAUUUAUAUCUUGUGAAUUUUCUUAGCUCCAAUGGUUUCUUCUUCUUAUUCUUCGGUUUCGGUCUAUCGUUUCUGCACCUUAAGCCUAGCUUCCACGAGCCGCCUCGGCGGUUAUUUCAUCAAUACCCGCAGUGCCGUUAAUUCGUGUCUGAGUUUAGGGUUUUGUUGUGGGAGGGAGGAAGUAAGUGUCAUUGACGAAUUCGUCGCCGCUACGGAGUUUGCAAGUUAGAUUCUGCUCUUUGGUCGCCGCUGUGGAGUUUCGCUUCCGAUAACUGGUUAAAUCUUCUCCUAAAAUUCACGGGGAAUGAUUUUCCCUAUCAAAGCCUCCUCUUUGAAGCCUUUCAUACGCUAAACUGCGCUCAUUAGGUUCGAAUCAGUACAAAGAUUAUAAGCAAUUCCUCUGAUAGAAGCCAGCCACAAUGUCUCUAACAAGAGCUUGCCGAAGAAGCUAACUCUUACUCGAAGUGCGAAGAUUGCUCGAAGCUGGUACCGAUGAUUUCAGUUCAGGGCAGUUCCCUACACUUGUCAUUCACCAGGAAUCUCAUGAGUCAAAGGUUAACGAGACUAAGGUUGUGUGCUUGGGAGUAGCUUUGGGCAAUGUUAGUAUAGAGGAAAAACAAAUCAUCCCAAAUGUACAAUCAAGUGUUAACUUCCUCAUCUCUUUGUUGAAAAGGAACUAGCGAAAUUAUUACUAUGAGCCAGGCACUGGAAGGCAGUUUCGCUCUCUGAUAGCUGUUCAGCGAACUCUUCCACCUACUCCAGCUCCGGCAAACUCUUCCAGCCACUGCAGAACUCUUCCAUCUUGCUGUUCAGCGAACUCUUCCACCUACUCCAGCUGGAAACUAGCCCAUGGGUUUACUGGAAUUUUAUGUCCUAUUACCCUGAAAUGUUUAAUUUUCUCUGUUGAUUGUUUUCAAUUUUUUUGAUAUAGAGCUAUGGAGAUUUAUCAAUUGGCUGAGGGUAGUAAAAAAAGGGCUGAAUUGGUUCGUCCCAAAGUAAGUGUAGGGUAGAUUAUGGUUGCGUCUUGUUGUUGUUGUUUUGAUAUAUAUUAAGUGUAUAAACAUCGAAUUCAUUUGUAGGCAAGGUUGCAGCCUAAUGGGAAUGAUUGUGGAUAUUAUGUGAUGAAGAAUAUGCUUGACAUUGUCUCUGCUAAUAUUACUAAGUCUUGGAAUGAGGUAUUCAAUGAUCCAACGGCAUUAACAGAAGAAGAGUUGUAUGAUUUGCGAAACAGUUGGGCAACUUGUUUUCUAGAGUUGAUUAAACCUUAGAAUUUAUCAGGUUUAUGCCUAAACUGUCUGAAAAACCUUAGCUCUCUUUGUAUUGUGCUUUUUUCUGCACCUGCAUUUGUCUUUGCUGCACUUGAUGCGUGCGUACGUACCUUGUUAUACUCUAGUUUUUUAUUCUCUUUUGUCUUUGUUUUGGCUAUAUGUUGCUUGUUGAGUUUGUUUAGCUGAUAUACUGAUCAUAUCAUUAGUUUGUUUAUGCUAGAUUGAUUGAAUUGCUGGGAAUUUUGCUGAUAUGGACAGUAGAUUGGUGGAGAGAUGAUUGAAUGGAUUCAUAUGAGGCACUUUUUCUGCUGAAUUGCGUGGCUCAGAAUUUCAAGUGGUAGUGAAUCUCUUUUUGUUGUAUUGGUGGUCUUGGAGGCUUGGUAAAAUUUGGGAUAGGCACUAACAUUUGGGCAGUUUGUUGCCUUUGGAUUAGUAGCUUUAGAGUUCUUACUACCUUAGUCUUUUCUUUAGCUUAGCUAGUUUAUCUUUAGCUUAGCUAGUUUUGGUUACUUUGUAUUUUGGCUUUGGACCGUUUCCUUGGUUUUUUCCAAAAAAUAUUUGGCAAUGCAUGAUCAAUUAUUAAUGAUCAAUGAAUAUUCAGCUCAAAUUACUGUAAAAAAACUGAAAAAAAAAGGAAAAAAAAGGACAUUUCACCUCGGUUAGAAAAUCAGCUGAUGUAAAAUAUGUAUAUAAAAAAAAAAAAAAGAGUAUUCACAUCGGUUGCGAAAAUAACCGAUGUAAAAUGUCUAACUUUCCACAUCGGUUAUUUCCUACCAACCGAUGUGAAAUGUAUACUUUUCACAUCGGUUAUUUGAUUCGCCCGAUGUGAAAAAUUACUUUUCACAUCGGUUGUACAACCGAUGUGAAAAGGUGGUGACAUACUACAUCACCCUUACUUACAUCGGUUAUGAACCGAUGUAAAAAGUGAUUUUGGCCCGAUGUUAAAAGUAGUUUUUCUAGUAGUGACAACAGCAAAACAAUUCACCAACAAAUCACCAAACACAUAAAACCACUGAAAACGUGAAACUUAGUGUGUGAGACUCUAAUGUAUGCAUGUGGUACCAAUUGUUAACCUUAGCGGUAUCACCGCGUCCACUCCAGACAGUUAACCACCAAUGAAGUCCACGCCAGACU
Lotus japonicus is the source of this 2423-nucleotide long non-coding RNA. RefSeq lists it as uncharacterized. The transcript is spliced from 5 exons. Lineage: Eukaryota; Viridiplantae; Streptophyta; Magnoliopsida; Fabales; Fabaceae. The record is from RefSeq and is a predicted model, not a curated record.